This 484-nucleotide ribosomal RNA is filed under the name uncultured bacterium. Its description in RNAcentral is "partial 16S ribosomal RNA". It matches the Rfam family "Bacterial small subunit ribosomal RNA", at positions 30 to 507 of the family's 1533-position model. The record is from RNAcentral.
AUUGAACGCUGGCGGCAGGCCUAACACAUGCAAGUCGAGCGGAUGAAGGGAGCUUGCUCCUGGAUUCAGCGGCGGACGGGUGAGUAAUGCCUAGGAAACUGCCUGGUAGUGGGGGAUAACGUCCGGAAACGGGCGCUAAUACCGCAUACGUCCUGAGGGAGAAAGUGGGGGAUCUUCGGACCUCACGCUAUCAGAUGAGCCUAGGUCGGAUUAGCUAGUUGGUGGGGUAAAGGCCUACCAAGGCGACGAUCCGUAACUGGUCUGAGAGGAUGAUCAGUCACACUGGAACUGAGACACGGUCCAGACUCCUACGGGAGGCAGCAGUGGGGAAUAUUGGACAAUGGGCGAAAGCCUGAUCCAGCCCUGCCGCGUGUGUGAAGAAGGUCUUCGGAUUGUAAAGCACUUUAAGUUGGGAGGAAGGGCAGUAAGUUAAUACCUUGCUGUUUUGACGUUACCAACAGAAUAAGCACCGGCUAACUUCGUG